UAGGGAAUCUUCGGCAAUGGACGAAAGUCUGACCGAGCAACGCCGCGUGAGUGAAGAAGGUUUUCGGAUCGUAAAACUCUGUUGUUAGAGAAGAACAAGGACGUUAGUAACUGAACGUCCCCUGACGGUAUCUAACCAGAAAGCCACGGCUAACUACGUGCCAGCAGCCGCGGUAAUACGUAGGUGGCAAGCGUUGUCCGGAUUUAUUGGGCGUAAAGCGAGCGCAGGCGGUUUCUUAAGUCUGAUGUGAAAGCCCCCGGCUCAACCGGGGAGGGUGAUUGGAAACUGGGAGACUUGAGUGCAGAAGAGGAGAGUGGAAGUCCAUGUGUAGCGGUGAAAUGCGUAGAUAUAUGGAGGAACACCAGUGGCGAAGGCGGCUCUCUGGUCUGUAACUGACGCUGAGGCUGGAAAGCGUGGGGAGCAAACAGG
Molecule: ribosomal RNA, 429 nt
Filed under: Gemmatimonadota bacterium
Lineage: Bacteria; Pseudomonadati; Gemmatimonadota
Description: Gemmatimonadetes bacterium partial 16S ribosomal RNA
Rfam family: Bacterial small subunit ribosomal RNA
Source: RNAcentral